GACGAACGCUGGCGGCGUGCCUAAUACAUGCAAGUUGAGCGCUGAAGGUUGGUACUUGUACCAACUGGAUGAGCAGCGAACGGGUGAGUAACGCGUGGGGAAUCUGCCUUUGAGCGGGGGACAACAUUUGGAAACGAAUGCUAAUACCGCAUAAAAACUUUAAACACAAGUUUUAAGUUUGAAAGAUGCAAUUGCAUCACUCAAAGAUGAUCCCGCGUUGUAUUAGCUAGUUGGUGAGGUAAAGGCUCACCAAGGCGAUGAUACAUAGCCGGCCUGAGAGGGUGGUCGGCCACAUUGGGACUGAGACACGGCCCAAACUCCUACGGGAGGCAGCAGUAGGGGAUCUUCGGCAAUGGACGAAAGUCUGACCGAGCAACGCCGCGUGAGUGAAGAAGGUUUUCGGAUCGUAAAACUCUGUUGGUAGAGAAGAACGUUGGUGAGAGUGGAAAGCUCAUCAAGUGACGGUAACUACCCAGAAAGGGACGGCUAACUACGUG
This 497-nucleotide ribosomal RNA is filed under the name uncultured bacterium. RNAcentral describes it as "partial 16S ribosomal RNA". It matches the Rfam family "Bacterial small subunit ribosomal RNA", at positions 28 to 507 of the family's 1533-position model. The record is from RNAcentral.